This 427-nucleotide long non-coding RNA is filed under the name Anser cygnoides (Swan goose). RNAcentral's name for it is "lncRNA (ENSACDG00005012105.1)". Lineage: Eukaryota; Metazoa; Chordata; Aves; Anseriformes; Anatidae. The record is from RNAcentral.
GGAAGGAAGGAAGGAAGGACGGAAGGAAGGAUGGAAGGAAGGAAGGAAGAAAAAGACAAUUCUAUUAUACUUUCUGAAAGGACUCAUUAGACUACAAGAGGAAGUGUGCAGAGGAUAAUUGCAUAAGAACAAGCCAAAUACUGCAAUAUUACUGUAGGUCAGAAGAAGAAGGCUAUGAAAUGUGGGCACCUACACACAUCACGGCUACUAAGGAGAAAGGAAAGAUAUUCAUCCAGUGAAAGCAAGUGAGCAGAACAGCAUCUUCUCAGCCCUUCCUAACCAAGAUGGAGGUCUAAGAAGUCCUGGGUGUUCUAGGCAACCCAAGGGAUCCCUUCUGAACUCCCCUUUUCCAAGACGAUAGCCAUUCUGCAAAGGGUAAGAUGUAUACUUGACACAAGGACUGUCUCCGAACCAGCCCACAAAAGAG